Molecule: long non-coding RNA, 1523 nt
Organism: Nicotiana tabacum (common tobacco)
Lineage: Eukaryota; Viridiplantae; Streptophyta; Magnoliopsida; Solanales; Solanaceae
Source: RefSeq, a predicted model, not a curated record
UUAAAGAAUAGUAUGAAAAAGAGGGUAAGUAUGACAUCUUCAGAAGUGCAGAGGGAACUUUAUCAAGUGAAUGGAUACAUAAGGGGUUGAUGUUGAAAUAAACGUUCUUAAAAUAGGAUGAAGGUGUUCAGUUCCUUCUUUAGGACUCAAAGCGGUAUUUACACUUGUAGUUCGUUCUCCCUCAUCGAACAGAGAAGAGCUUUACGGCACAAUAAAAACCCUAGCUCAACUAUGGAGUUCGUCCCUUCGGGGACAUCCGAUAAAAUUGGAACGAUACAGAGAAGAUUAGCAUGGCCCCGCGCAAGGAUGACACGCACAAAUCGAGAAAUGGUCCAAAUUUUUUUGGCUCAGUUUUCCUCGUCCCUCUGUUAUCUUUUGCGAUGCUCUCUCACGAGAUUUCUUGAGGGUUGCCCAGAUUUUGUUGACGGGGAUAGGCAUAUUAUGCCCUAGUUUCAAUGCUUGGAGCUGCUGACAAUUCCAAACACUCGCUAUCAUGCAAUAUCUGGUUGAUGUGUUCGUUUGCUCAACGGAAACAUUUAUUUGUAUUCUACAUGGAUUUGCAAAUGCCAAAGCAGUGUCAUUCCUUUGUUUCUGAAGAAAAUAAUGCCACUAUUGAGGUAAAAGGCCUGAUGUUUAUUGAGGGUUAUCCUAAUUUCUGGGAUGUACCAUUGUGUUGCCUUUCUGAAGAAAAUGACACCACUACUGCAUGCUGCUAGCGCUCUGGUCGUACAACUUUAUGACUGCGCAAUAGAGAGCUUAUUGGGUCAUAUUGCAAUUAUAACUGCUGCGGGUCAAGCUAUAAAGGGUAUUGCGAGACAGCUUGUGGCAGAGGGAAAAAUACGAGAUUAGGAAGUUUGCGUAAAGCUAACUCCUCCAGGAUCAGUCAAAUAACUUCUCAGCAUAGUUAUUCUAUUUCUGAUGAGUUGGCUACUGGAAUUACUACAGUGCUGUACAGAAAGUUGCAUCCGAUCUGAAGACGACGAAGAUGAAUGAUAUACUCAUCGAGAAUCGUCGUUGAAGAUGGAUGUUGCUUCCAUGCUUAAUGGGCUAGGAGUGAAGACAAAUGUGGAUCUCAGAAAGCUUACAUUGGCUGGAGACUUUGUACUUUAUUUGCAAACCUUUUUCGGUCUGCUUCUGGUUCUGUGGUUGCCAAUUACUUGAGCAAUGAGCAACUGGUACUGCCUAAAUCUUAAGGUAUCUCUAAUGCCUUUGGCAUGUCUAUACUACAUUCCAAUUUUGACAUGAAAGUCCCUCUGGACCAACUCUCACUGUACCAUAUCAUCGUCUUGUGUUGUAAAACAUACCCACAUCGGCAUACAUGUCCAAGUGAGGACUGCACAAAUUCUGUGUUGGCUUGCAAAGAUAGAAGGAGGACAUACAAGAACAAUAUACCUAACGAAUGCUACUGUAAUGAUGAUGGAUGGGUUUGUAAAAGUGGAGGGUACUAAAUCUUGGAACAAACUCAUUAAUGAUACUGUCUCAAUCAAAUGUUCUUUGAAAUGAAUUUCUUAUUUGAACUUCAA